GCUGAGUUUGAUCCUGGCUCAGGACGAACGCUGGCGGCGUGCUUAACACAUGCAAGUCGAACGCUGAAGCUUGGUGCUUGCACUGGGUGGAUGAGUGGCGAACGGGUGAGUAAUACGUGAGUAACCUGCCCUUGACUCUGGGAUAAGCCUGGGAAACUGGGUCUAAUACUGGAUAUGACCUCCUGUCGCAUGGUGGGGGGUGGAAAGGGUUUGUACUGGUUGUGGAUGGGCUCACGGCCUAUCAGCUUGUUGGUGGGGUAAUGGCCUACCAAGGCGACGACGGGUAGCCGGCCUGAGAGGGUGACCGGCCACACUGGGACUGAGACACGGCCCAGACUCCUACGGGAGGCAGCAGUGGGGAAUAUUGCACAAUGGGCGCAAGCCUGAUGCAGCGACGCCGCGUGAGGGAUGACGGCCUUCGGGUUGUAAACCUCUUUCAGCACGGAAGAUGCUAAAGUGACGGUACGUGCAGAAGAAGCGCCGGCUAACUACGUGCCAGCAGCCGCGGUAAUACGUAGGGCGCAAGCGUUGUCCGGAAUUAUUGGGCGUAAAGAGCUCGUAGGCGGUUUGUCGCGUCUGCUGUGAAAGCCCGGGGCUUAACCCCGGGUGUGCAGUGGGUACGGGCAGACUUGAGUGCAGUAGGGGAGACUGGAACUCCUGGUGUAGCGGUGAAAUGCGCAGAUAUCAGGAAGAACACCGAUGGCGAAGGCAGGUCUCUGGGCUGUUACUGACGCUGAGGAGCGAAAGCAUGGGGAGCGAACAGGAUUAGAUACCCUGGUAGUCCAUGCCGUAAACGUUGGGCACUAGGUGUGGGGGACAUUCCACGUUUUCCGCGCCGUAGCUAACGCAUUAAGUGCCCCGCCUGGGGAGUACGGCCGCAAGGCUAAAACUCAAAGGAAUUGACGGGGGCCCGCACAAGCGGCGGAGCAUGCGGAUUAAUUCGAUGCAACGCGAAGAACCUUACCAAGGCUUGACAUACACCGGAUCGGCUCAGAGAUGGGUUUUCCUCCUUGUGGGGCUGGUGUACAGGUGGUGCAUGGUUGUCGUCAGCUCGUGUCGUGAGAUGUUGGGUUAAGUCCCGCAACGAGCGCAACCCUCGUUCUAUGUUGCCAGCACGUGAUGGUGGGGACUCAUAGGAGACUGCCGGGGUCAACUCGGAGGAAGGUGGGGAUGACGUCAAAUCAUCAUGCC
RNAcentral lists this ribosomal RNA (1191 nucleotides) under Kocuria sp. W1.09-133. RNAcentral's name for it is "bacterial SSU rRNA". It matches the Rfam family "Bacterial small subunit ribosomal RNA", at positions 1 to 1199 of the family's 1533-position model. Lineage: Bacteria; Bacillati; Actinomycetota; Actinomycetes; Micrococcales; Micrococcaceae. The record is from RNAcentral.